RNAcentral lists this ribosomal RNA (465 nucleotides) under Vreelandella stevensii. RNAcentral describes it as "partial 16S ribosomal RNA". It matches the Rfam family "Bacterial small subunit ribosomal RNA", at positions 338 to 795 of the family's 1533-position model. Lineage: Bacteria; Pseudomonadati; Pseudomonadota; Gammaproteobacteria; Oceanospirillales; Halomonadaceae. The record is from RNAcentral.
CCUACAGGUGGCUGCAGUGGGGAAUAUUGGACAAUGGGGGCAACCCUGAUCCAGCCAUGCCGCGUGUGUGAAGAAGGCCCUCGGGUUGUAAAGCACUUUCAGUGAGGAAGAACGCCUGGUGGUUAAUACCCAUCAGGAAAGACAUCACUCACAGAAGAAGCACCGGCUAACUCCGUGCCAGCAGCCGCGGUAAUACGGAGGGUGCGAGCGUUAAUCGGAAUUACUGGGCGUAAAGCGCGCGUAGGUGGCUUGAUAAGCCGGUUGUGAAAGCCCCGGGCUCAACCUGGGAACGGCAUCCGGAACUGUCAAGCUAGAGUGCAGGAGAGGAAGGUAGAAUUCCCGGUGUAGCGGUGAAAUGCGUAGAGAUCGGGAGGAAUACCAGUGGCGAAGGCGGCCUUCUGGACUGACACUGACACUGAGGUGCGAAAGCGUGGGUAGCAAACAGGAUUAGAUACCCUAGUAGUC